Molecule: long non-coding RNA, 673 nt
Organism: Mastomys coucha (southern multimammate mouse)
Lineage: Eukaryota; Metazoa; Chordata; Mammalia; Rodentia; Muridae
Exons: 4
Source: RefSeq, a predicted model, not a curated record
CAUGGCGAUUCACCAAGAGCUACUCUUCAAGACUGUUAACCAGCUUAUCUUCCCACAACUGGAUGACGAAUGUAUUUAAUAACCUUCAGUUUUACUCUGACAAAGGAUUAUGUGUAGCUAGGCUUCUCAACCCUGGAUCAGAGGUACAGGAAAAACACAAGGGAAUCUGCAGUCCCCUGAGGUCAAGAUGCUUAAUAUUCUCAGAGCCAGAAGCAGGCUGGGCUAGGAUCCACUGUUCAUCCUACCUUCAGAUCGUCACAGGCCCUUUGUCAUAACACUUGACUCUGUCACUCCACAAAGCACACCAGCGCCUGUGCUGUCUGACCUCAAUGUCUUGGAAAUCAGCUAAAAGUGCUUCGCUCUUCUGAAAAAUGGAAAAUGCACUAUGAGUCUGCAUUAAUGAACACUCCAACUUGAGCCAUCUUUGUCCUCUUUGAGGUAUACCUGGGUGGAUAACAAGCAACCGAGCUCUUAGAAUGGAGAGAAGCAUGUGGAUGGGUACUGAACAACUGUCCAGUCACAGUGGAUUCAAACUGGAUAUUAAUAAUAGGAUGGACAGGCAAAUUGCUAUUGGCUGUUUCACGGAGUGCCACCACAGUGAGAAGAGCUGACAACCAUGCAAAGUGAGAUGGAAGAAACUGGAGAACACAAAACUGACAAGAAAAAAGAUCCA